Molecule: ribosomal RNA, 864 nt
Rfam family: Bacterial small subunit ribosomal RNA
AGUCGAACGAUGAAGCCCAGCUUGCUGGGUGGAUUAGUGGCGAACGGGUGAGUAACACGUGAGUAACCUGCCCUUAACUCUGGGAUAAGCCUGGGAAACUGGGUCUAAUACCGGAUAGGAGCGCCCACCGCAUGGUGGGUGUUGGAAAGAUUUAUCGGUUUUGGAUGGACUCGCGGCCUAUCAGCUUGUUGGUGAGGUAAUGGCUCACCAAGGCGACGACGGGUAGCCGGCCUGAGAGGGUGACCGGCCACACUGGGACUGAGACACGGCCCAGACUCCUACGGGAGGCAGCAGUGGGGAAUAUUGCACAAUGGGCGCAAGCCUGAUGCAGCGACGCCGCGUGAGGGAUGACGGCCUUCGGGUUGUAAACCUCUUUCAGUAGGGAAGAAGCGAAAGUGACGGUACCUGCAGAAGAAGCACCGGCUAACUACGUGCCAGCAGCCGCGGUAAUACGUAGGGUGCGAGCGUUAUCCGGAAUUAUUGGGCGUAAAGAGCUCGUAGGCGGUUUGUCGCGUCUGUCGUGAAAGUCCGGGGCUUAACCCCGGAUCUGCGGUGGGUACGGGCAGACUAGAGUGCAGUAGGGGAGACUGGAAUUCCUGGUGUAGCGGUGGAAUGCGCAGAUAUCAGGAGGAACACCGAUGGCGAAGGCAGGUCUCUGGGCUGUAACUGACGCUGAGGAGCGAAAGCAUGGGGAGCGAACAGGAUUAGAUACCCUGGUAGUCCAUGCCGUAAACGUUGGGCACUAGGUGUGGGGACCAUUCCACGGUUUCCGCGCCGCAGCUAACGCAUUAAGUGCCCCGCCUGGGGAGUACGGCCGCAAGGCUAAACUCAAAGGAAUUGACGGGGGCCCGCACAAGCGGCGGA